RNAcentral lists this unclassified non-coding RNA (229 nucleotides) under uncultured fungus. Its description in RNAcentral is "sequence contains ITS1, 5.8S rRNA gene". The stretch from base 181 to 229 matches the Rfam family "5.8S ribosomal RNA", at positions 1 to 49 of the family's 154-position model. The record is from RNAcentral. Lineage: Eukaryota; Fungi.
UCUCCGUAGGUGAACCUGCGGGGGGAUCAUUACUGAGUGAGGGCUCACGCCCGACCUCCAACCCUUUGUGAACACAUCUUGUUGCUUCGGGGGCGACCCUGCCGGCACUCGGUCGCCGGGCGCCCCCGAAGGACUCCAAACACUGCAUCUUUGCGUCGGAGUUUAAAACAAAUUAAACAAAACUUUCAACAACGGAUCUCAUGGUUCUGGAAUCGAUGAAGAACGCAGC